Molecule: non-coding RNA, 1094 nt
Organism: Lonchura striata (white-rumped munia)
Lineage: Eukaryota; Metazoa; Chordata; Aves; Passeriformes; Estrildidae
Source: RefSeq, a predicted model, not a curated record
GCGCCGCGCUGGAUGCGGGCGGGCGCGGGGGUCUCCGCCCGCUCCCCGCCGGAGCGGCGGGUUGAGGAACGGACCCAAAGUUGCUGGAAAGCACAAACUUCCCCGGCGGGUGCCGGUCCGCAGGGCGGCUGUCGGAGCCUUAAUGUGGCGAGAGGGGGGAAAGACCAGAAAGGACUUAUUUUUCAACCCCCCAUCCUCGUUUCAAGCACACAAUAUGGUACCCACAACCGGCCGUGCACAUCGGAGUUUGAGCAUAAACUAAUAAUAGCUGGAUAGUUCCACAGGCUAUCCGAGCUGGCGGGUCUUCCUCUCCCUGCUUCUGGAGCGACUAAAAUUGAUUGUAAUCUACUGAAAGAGAGUCGGAGAGCAGCUCGUUUGGGUGAGGGGGUGGGGGACUGGAGAGUCGCUGCAGGAAGGAUAUAAAUAGAUUUUUUUUUAAGAAGAAGAAGAAGACAUUGCUUUCGAAGUUAAUGUUUGGGAAUAUUUUUUAACAGGGAUGGCUCUUUUGCCUACUGUGGUAACCCUAAACCUAACCUGUCCCUCUCCACGCAUCCACGGGAAACCUUGCUGAAAUGUGUUUUAAGAGGCUGUCAUCUCCGUUAUGAAUUGCUGAGAAAUUCUUCAGAAUAAGACCCUGAGAAAUGUCUACCUACAGAGGGAGGAGAGGAAAGGGAAUGUGCCAGUUCUCUUCCAAGUACCACAGCCUUAUGUCCUGAUCCAGCCUUGCUCUGCCAUGAACGAUCUCUGCUCCCAUGAGAAUGCCUAAAGAAGCAAAGGGGAUUCUGUACGUGAUGGUGCACAGCUCAAGUUUGUGGGAUGUUUUUGAUAUUUCUGUAGCUUUUCAUGGAUUGCAAGUUGUUGCAUUUGCUUAUUAAGUUCAGAACACAGUAUCAAUUUAUAGAAUAAAUUUCUUUUGGGUACCAGUUUGUGAGUCAAAGCUGUGUUUUCUUUCUAGCAGCAGAAAGUUUUAUAAGAAGGUUCUUCUACUUAAGAGAGAGACAUAAAAAGGCUUGUGAGUUGUAAAUAAUGUGCUUGCAUUCCCUCACCCUAUGAUCCAUGUUAUUGUAAUAAACCAUGCCAGCUUUUUAACCAAA